Molecule: transfer RNA, 72 nt
Filed under: Bos taurus (domestic cattle)
Lineage: Eukaryota; Metazoa; Chordata; Mammalia; Artiodactyla; Bovidae
Also listed under: 3 other names
Rfam family: tRNA
About the family: Transfer RNA (tRNA) molecules are approximately 80 nucleotides in length.
Source: Rfam by way of RNAcentral
UCUCUGGUGGCUCAGAGGGUAAAGCGUCUGCCUGCAAAGCAGGAGACCCAGGUUCGAUCUCUGGGCUGGGAA